UAAGGAAUAUUGGUCAAUGGACGCAAGUCUGAACCAGCCAUGCCGCGUGAAGGAUGAAGGUCCUCUGGAUUGUAAACUUCUUUUAUAUGGGAAGAAACCCACUUUUUCUUGAGUGGUUGACGGUACCAUAGGAAUAAGCACCGGCUAACUCCGUGCCAGCAGCCGCGGUAAUACGGAGGGUGCAAGCGUUAUCCGGAUUCACUGGGUUUAAAGGGUGCGUAGGAGGGCAGGUAAGUCAGUGGUGAAAUCUCCAAGCUUAACUUGGAAACUGCCGUUGAUACUAUCUGUCUUGAAUACCGUGGAGAUGAGCGGAAUAUGUCAUGUAGCGGUGAAAUGCUUAGAUAUGACAUAGAACACCAAUUGCGAAGGCAGCUCGUUACACGAAUAUUGACUCUGAGGCACGAAAGCGUGGGGAUCAAACA
This 422-nucleotide ribosomal RNA is filed under the name uncultured Flavisolibacter sp. RNAcentral's name for it is "bacterial SSU rRNA". It matches the Rfam family "Bacterial small subunit ribosomal RNA", at positions 355 to 774 of the family's 1533-position model. Lineage: Bacteria; Pseudomonadati; Bacteroidota; Chitinophagia; Chitinophagales; Chitinophagaceae. The record is from RNAcentral.